GGGUUGAGGGGUCGUGCAGGGGCUUGAAGGGCAUCGCCGUGCACGGGCUGAGGGGCAUCGCUACCCAACGGCGGGAAAUAAGCACUGGAGGCUUUUCUGACGAAGUUUGUGUCCCGUUUAUGCCCAGGGCCAGUCACUUUUUCCGAACUCCUGCAAGUCUUGGGUGGGUCGUGGUAAAGAUGAACCAGGGGAUCGGGAUUCGCUGCGUUGGUCUGAGGAAAGACUUUGCGUUCAGGAAACUGGCCCGGUGAGUUAUUUCAUUCCCUUGGGAGCCGAAGGAGCACUUCCCUGGGCUGUGAAAGUACAGGGAGCGUCAUGGCCACGGGCAGGCACACAGCAGCUCUGCUGGCCGGACACACCAAAGUUAUUAACCGGGGGGAAAUUAUAUCACCACCAUGUGAUUUCUUUAAAAAUCAUCCAGCCAAGGAAGUCACUCUGCUUAUGGUAAUAAGAAAUGAGUACAUCAUCUGAUGUUCUUUUCAUAAGCCUAAUUUAACUGCUUGAAGGGAGAUGGGCUGCUUUAAAAACAACUACUUUAAUUAGCUUGUACCAUUAAAUGGUUUGAAUUUAAAUGCUUUUCUUUGGUGGGGGGAGCUUCAUUGGUAAUGAGAUAAAUUUUAGAUUGACCAUAUAAACACACCUAGCAUGUGUUUAAGCUUUCUGUUUCUCAUGUGUUGAGUCAGUUUUUACGUGCAUAAGGUCUGGAUCAGAUGAGCUACUGAAACAGAGCACAACUGUGCUGACAAGAAAAGAGCUGUGCCCAUUUGUGCCACCUGAACAUGUGUCUCCUCUGUGGUCAAAUGUACAUGUGAUUUAUUUUUAAGUAGAGGAUGGGAUGGCUUCUUGGUCAGAUACAUGACUUAUUGUCAGAAAUGCAAGUUUUUAUUUCUGCCCUGGUCCCAACUUCUUGUGCAACCUGCAGCAAGCACAUCAUUCCCUUACUCACUGUCUAUAAAUUGAGUAUUAUUAAUUCAGUGAUGCCUAAAAUGGAAUAAAUACUUAGAUUAGUCAGUGUGCAGUGUCAGUCAGAGUAUGAAAAUAAAUACAUUUUAAAGCUGCCAGUUCCUCAGCCAGGUUAAGUUGGAAUGGUUUCCCUAAACCCCUGGAGGUAUCAGGGUAGGUUCAUAUGAGCAGAAGGUCUGAUCCAUAUGCCUCUUGGGAGGUCUUCUGUAGUUCAGCCUUUACAAAAAUACCAGGGUUUGCACAUUGGAGAUGCUGUAAAGGCUGGAAGGAAUCUGUAAGUGUUACUUAUUAAUGGUCUCUAUUAUUAGAAGGAAAAAAGCUUGUGUUAAAUUUUUCAAAUUGGCAGUACAUUUAAAGCUGAAGCAAAUUUGAUUCUGCUAGCAGCACAGAAGUGAAAUAGGUCACCAUCACUACUAUGGGGGGUUUUUUCCUUCUUUGCUUUGACAACACUUUGCCAAACUUGAGGAGAAAAAUUAUACACAAAUGUGUACUUUAAUUAAAAGAAAAUCUAUGUCUGUAAAA
Corvus hawaiiensis (hawaiian crow) is the source of this 1485-nucleotide long non-coding RNA. RefSeq lists it as uncharacterized. The record is from RefSeq and is a predicted model, not a curated record. The transcript is spliced from 3 exons. NCBI's taxonomy places the organism in Eukaryota, Metazoa, Chordata, Aves, Passeriformes, Corvidae.